UGACAGGCAAAGCAAUUAACUCAUAAGAAUGAGAUGUACCACAGCAUAUGUACAACUGUGCUCUUAAUGGACUGGCAGAUAACUGAUCUGGGUAAUGACGCUGUCGCUGGCUCCCCAUAAUUAUGAUCAGCUCUCUCCGGUUGCAUGAUGCCGUGACACUAGUAUGAUGAUAGAGGGAACUGCUUCUACCUGACUGAUACUUAACCCUGAUUGGCAAAAUGGAUGUAACGCAAUUUUACUGUUUAUGUACUUUGACAAUAAAAUUCAGUGGUGGCUCCCAUGGUGAGCUGGCUCCCAAAACUGAUUUAGACAUUCUGAAAAUUGCUUAUUGUACUAAACGUACCAGAAUGAAUGUAUGCUGUGUGGCAACACAAUUUCG
RNAcentral lists this unclassified non-coding RNA (379 nucleotides) under Hevea brasiliensis (rubber tree). The record is from RNAcentral. Lineage: Eukaryota; Viridiplantae; Streptophyta; Magnoliopsida; Malpighiales; Euphorbiaceae.